UAGUUGUAGUCUCAUUGCUGUUCUUCUGUAGUUAGGGCUCUCCUGGAAUUCAAACAGCAUCUCUUCUCCAUGAGCCAGAAGGUGAACUGCUGGAGUGAUUGAGGAGUUCCUCUAAAUGCCAUGCUAUGCUAACUCUGCUGUUCCUAGAAGAGCAUCUCUUCAUCUAUGCAUUGGAGCUGAGCUUGUCUCUCAAAUUCCCUGCUCCAAGGAAGGAUGUGGUUUUUUGAGUUCUUUACAAACCAAAGACAAGGGACUGACCUCAGUAUUACCUCUACUAUGCUGUGAGGCAGUCACUCUGGCAUGUAUUCCUAUAUUUGUAGCCCUACUUUCACUCAAAGCACCAAGUCUGCUGCUACUGGAACUGACUUUUUUUCUGUUCAAAGAAAUGUUAACAAAUAACAGUAUUUUCUGUAGGCAUGGACAGUAAUUUUUGGAGUAAAUAAUAACUUCAGUUCA
Molecule: long non-coding RNA, 456 nt
Organism: Tympanuchus pallidicinctus (lesser prairie-chicken)
Lineage: Eukaryota; Metazoa; Chordata; Aves; Galliformes; Phasianidae
Exons: 2
Source: RefSeq, a predicted model, not a curated record